GGGCUCGUAGUAUAGUGGCAGAAUAGUGCAUUCGCAUUGCACAGACGGGAGUUCGAUUCUCCCCGGGUCCACCA
RNAcentral lists this transfer RNA (74 nucleotides) under Candidatus Tagabacteria bacterium CG10_big_fil_rev_8_21_14_0_10_40_13. RNAcentral describes it as "tRNA-Ala". It matches the Rfam family "tRNA". From Rfam's summary of the family: Transfer RNA (tRNA) molecules are approximately 80 nucleotides in length. Their secondary structure includes four short double-helical elements and three loops (D, anti-codon, and T loops). The record is from RNAcentral. Lineage: Bacteria; Candidatus Tagaibacteriota.